UGGAGGAUGACGGCCAAUCAAAUCCGCGGCUCCAACAUUCCCCCACCAAUCGCCUUCGCCCAGCUCUAACAUUUGACCAAUCACGACGGAGAAAUGUUGGGCGGAGCCGAGCGGUGCCGAGAAGAUUUGCGGUCACCUUCGUUGUUUUAGAGGGAGUGACAAAAGAUGUCGGACAACGAGUGAAAUGGCGAGUAUUUACACAUUUAUAACACUGCUGCACACACUAAAACUUUAUAUAGACGAGUAAUUUCACCAGUUGUGUUAAAUUACAUGUCUGACAUGUUGCCUUCUGUCGCGUUUGCUGACAUCCAUGUUAACGAUGAAGGAAUGUUAGCUUUGCUAGCUUGAUUUUGCCCAUUCACAAGACUAAUUCUAGUGUUUUUCAUGUGAUAAACACUCGUUUUCAUAGCUGGAGAUAUACUUUAAUUGUGUCCAUUUAGUGUUACAUGUAUCCCUUACACAAACAAAGUCGUACAUUGUUUGUUAAGGGAAGUUCACUGUCGGGGUGGGGGAGGGGUGGUCUUAGUGGUAUCCUGAGCCCACAGUGUCGUGCGAUUUAGGGGCCGUCCACACGGGCGAAAACGAUCUUUUUUUUCUCCGUCUUCCUCGUCAUCGUUAUAUUUGCGUUAUAUUUUAUAUAAUAUUUGCGUCCAUACGGAUCCACUGAAAACGACCGAAAACGCUGUAGUUCAUAUUCCAGGCAUCUAGGUGGCGCUUGACAUUCGCCAAAAACGGAGAAGAAGAUACGGAGUAUGCGCAUUAAGCUUGCGCGCUGUAAACAGACAGUUGACGGAGAAACCGAACACAACAAGAAGAAGAUGAAAAUGGCUAGUGCAAGGAAACCAGAAUCAUUUGUGUGGACCGUAAAUGAGGUCGAACUGCUGCUGCGACUCACACUCAACUACAAGGCGAGCAACAUCUUCCAAGUCCCACAAGGCGAUGGUGGACUCAGAGUCGAUGUCCCACCUGAGAAAGUUUGGCCGGCAGGUGGAGGAAACAGGCCAGCUCCCAGGCAGAAGAGGUGGUAUGCCCUUUAUCAGAUGGUAUGAGUAUAUUUAGUAUAUUCACUGUAUACAGUAUAUUGUAUUCAUUGUUAUUUACUCUCAUGAUAUAUUUAACUCAUCAUGAUUUGUGUAAAAUG
RNAcentral lists this long non-coding RNA (1141 nucleotides) under Sparus aurata (gilthead seabream). RNAcentral describes it as "lncRNA (ENSSAUG00010002313.1)". The record is from RNAcentral. Lineage: Eukaryota; Metazoa; Chordata; Actinopteri; Spariformes; Sparidae.